This is a non-coding RNA of Cinara cedri, 457 nucleotides long. Lineage: Eukaryota; Metazoa; Arthropoda; Insecta; Hemiptera; Aphididae. The record is from the annotation of a GenBank genome assembly.
UUUCUAAAGUUUCGCUCAAAGUCAUCAAUUUUAACUCUUUGGGUUCUUCCAUUUAAAAAGGAUUAUACCUGCUCUAUCUAAUUUCUCUAAUAAAAUAUCAUGGUUCACAGUUUUAAGUUUUAUGUACAUCAAAGAAAAUAUCCAAUGCUUUAUAGUUUUUAUCAAUAUUUUUUCCCUAUAAAGCUAUCAAUCUCAAAUAGCAGGUUAUUUGUCCACAUUCCAGUUUUUAAACCAAAUUGUUUAUUAAAAAAAAAAAAAAUGAUUUUAUCUUUGGGAAAUUUACCAUUACUACAUUUUUCAAAUAUUUUAGAUAAAGUUAAUAAAGUGAUCAGUCGAUAAUUUCCGCAUAAUAAUUUAUCAUCCAAUUUGAAUGAAUGAAUAAUUAAACAUUUUUUAAAAGACAAAAGAUAUUUACCAGUUAAUAGUGAUUUAUUAAAAAUAAUUGUUAACAUUAAGG